Molecule: ribosomal RNA, 301 nt
Filed under: uncultured bacterium
Lineage: Bacteria
Description: partial 16S ribosomal RNA
Rfam family: Bacterial small subunit ribosomal RNA
Source: RNAcentral
CAGUCGCCGCGGUAAUGCGUAGGUGGCAAGCGUUGUCCGGAAUUAUUGGGCGUAAAGGGCUCGCGGGCGGUUUCUUAAGUCUGAUGUGAAAGCCCCCGGCUCAACCGGGGAGGGUCAUUGGAAACUGGGAAACUUGAGUGCAGAAGAGGAGAGUGGAAUUCCACGUGUAGCGGUGAAAUGCGUAGAGAUGUGGAGGAACACCAGUGGCGAAGGCGACUCUCUGGUCUGUAACUGACGCUGAGGAGCGAAAACGUGGGGAGCGAACAGGAUUAGAUACCCCGGUAGUCCCUGUCUCUUAUAC